Molecule: non-coding RNA, 113 nt
Organism: Acanthosepion pharaonis
Lineage: Eukaryota; Metazoa; Mollusca; Cephalopoda; Sepiida; Sepiidae
Source: the annotation of a GenBank genome assembly
AUACGACCAUAUCACAUUAAGGCACCGAUUCUCGUAGGAUCGUCGAAGUUAAGCAAUGUCGAACCUGGUGAGUACCUUGAUGGGUUACCGCACGAGAAUGCCAGCUGCUGUAA